CCACAGUUCAACUGGUCCCCAGAGUAUGCACCUGGUAUCCCUUGGGUGUUGCACAGGACAGCAGCAGUGAAGUAAGGCCAGCACCCAAGCCUGGAGCCACACAGCUCCCAUCAAGGUGGCAACAUGCCUUGGUAGGACUGAGCUACAGCCCACACCUGGGCAGGUAAAACUCUUUAGAGUCCUUUAGUCUUAAAACGUGAAUGUUGUUUCUUGAAGCAGGCAUUGCUUCUAGAUCCUCAAGUAUGAAGUUCUUAGUGGUAAGGGGAAUUCUUCUCCUUGUGUGUGUGAAAUCUGUGGAGCAACUACUUCCAAGUACUGAAGCUGUCGGCUAAGUGACCAGCUCGGGGGCUGAGCUCUUGGGGGUACACUCCUCUUGGGGUCAGUUGCAGAGGAGUUUUGCUUUGUUUGCAGCAAUCGUUACCUGUGAAGAUGUGCCUGGAUUGUCAGCACAGCCCUGCUUGAAAUGCCAUGUUUCUUCCCCGUGUUUCCUUUAAAGCCAAGGACAGCAAGGCAAGAUAGGGUUUCACGAGGGUAUAGGGUUUCUGAAUCUGAGUCUUUCCUGAGACAAACUCUUUCUAAUCCUUACCUGUGUGUCAGAGCUGCACAGACAUCGACCACAUCCGUAACCACCCAUAGGAUCUUCUAUUGCUGGAGGAAGAACUGUAAUUUAGGCUGCCUGAACUUGGCUGCAGAUCCUCAUAGCGUGGGAAAGACGCAAGCUGCUGGUAUCAGACCUGGGGAUUUAU
Molecule: long non-coding RNA, 746 nt
Filed under: Cairina moschata (Muscovy duck)
Lineage: Eukaryota; Metazoa; Chordata; Aves; Anseriformes; Anatidae
Description: domestica (muscovy Duck (domestic type)) lncRNA (ENSCMMG00000015830.1)
Source: RNAcentral